CCUACGGGUGGCAGCAGUGGGGGAUAUUGCACAAUGGAGGAAACUCUGAUGCAGCGACGCCGCGUGAGGGAAGACGGUCUUCCGAUUGUAAACCUCUGUUUUUGGGGAAGAAAAUGACGGUACUCAUAGAGGAAUCUCCGGCUAACUACGUGCCAGCAGCCGUGGCAACACGUAGGGAGCGAGCGUUGUCCGGAAUUACUGGGUGUAAAGGGAGCGUAGGCGGGCGAGAAAGUUGGAUGUUAAAUCUACCGGCUUAACUGGUAGCUGCGUUCAAAACUUCUUGUCUUGAGUGAAGUAGAGGCAGGCGGAAUUCCUAGUGUAGCGGUGAAAUGCGUAGAUAUUAGGAGGAACACCGGUGGCGAAGGCAGCCUGCUAGGCUGUAACUGACGCUGAGGCUCGAAAGCGUGGGGAGCAAACAGGAUUAGAUACCCCAGUAGUC
RNAcentral lists this ribosomal RNA (439 nucleotides) under uncultured bacterium. Its description in RNAcentral is "partial 16S ribosomal RNA". It matches the Rfam family "Bacterial small subunit ribosomal RNA", at positions 338 to 795 of the family's 1533-position model. The record is from RNAcentral.